AGCUCACGCUGCAGGCCAUCAAGGACACAGAGGCCCAGGUGGACAGGCUGCGGCAGGAGGCCCAGAAGGCCGAGGCGCUGGCUAUGGCCAGGCUGGAGCUUCGGGAGCAGACGCAGGAGGGAGGAAGAGGCGCCCGGGCUGAAGUGCCAGGUCACCGAGCUGCACGAUGUGCUGAUGAAAGAUGUAGGCAACCGCAUCCGUGCCGACGGCCGGUCAGUUCUCCGGGCCAGACGUGGGUGAUUUGGGGUUUGGACAGACAGCAGUGACCUGAUGGGUGUCCCCAGGUGGCCUCUUGUUAUUGACCCUUCGGGCCAGGCGGCCACCUUCCUGCGCUACCAGGAUACCAACUAUGUGGACACGGUGAACCCGGAGCACCUGAGGCCGGAGAGGAUGCGGCUGGUUCUGCUGGGGGCUCUGCGGUGA
RNAcentral lists this small RNA (423 nucleotides) under Pan troglodytes (chimpanzee). Its description in RNAcentral is "retained intron". The record is from RNAcentral. Lineage: Eukaryota; Metazoa; Chordata; Mammalia; Primates; Hominidae.